GACGAACGCUGGCGGCGUGCCUAACACAUGCAAGUCGAGCGAAAGGACGAGAAGUUUGCUUCUCUGAUGUUUGCGGAGGACGGGAGUGUAACACGUGGAUCACAUACCUAUAAGUCUGGGAUCACUUCGGGAAACCGGAGCUAAUAGCGGAUGAUAUUCUGAACCGUAUGGUUCAAAAGUAAAAGACGGUCUUGCUGUCACUUAUAGAUGGAUCAGCGCUGCUUUAGCUAGUUGGUAAGGUAACGGCUUACCAAGGCAACGAUGCAUAGCCGACCUGAGAGAGUGGUCGGCCACACGGGAGCUGAACCAGGGUCAAUACUCCUACGGGAGGCAGCAGUAGGGAAUCUGCCGCAGUGGUCGAAAGCCUGACGGAGCAGCGCGGCGUGUGAUAUAAAGGUCUUGGGUUCGUAAAACUGUGUUACUGGGUAAGAACAGAUGUGUAAGUAACUGUACAGAUCUUGACGGUACCUAAUCAGAAAGCCACGGCUAACUACGUG
This 497-nucleotide ribosomal RNA is filed under the name uncultured bacterium. Its description in RNAcentral is "partial 16S ribosomal RNA". It matches the Rfam family "Bacterial small subunit ribosomal RNA", at positions 28 to 507 of the family's 1533-position model. The record is from RNAcentral.